This 118-nucleotide ribosomal RNA is filed under the name Pteropus alecto (black flying fox). The record is from RNAcentral. Lineage: Eukaryota; Metazoa; Chordata; Mammalia; Chiroptera; Pteropodidae.
GUUUAUGGCCAUGAUACCCUGAACAAGCCCAAUCCCAUCUGAUCUCGGAAGCUAAGCAGGGUCGGCCUGCUUAGUACUUGGAUGAGAGACCACCUAGGAAAACCAGGUGCUGUAGGUA